RNAcentral lists this ribosomal RNA (1441 nucleotides) under uncultured organism. RNAcentral describes it as "16S ribosomal RNA". It matches the Rfam family "Bacterial small subunit ribosomal RNA". The record is from RNAcentral.
CUGGCGGCGUGCUUAACACAUGCAAGUCGAACGGAAAGGCCCUGCUUUUGUGGGGUGCUCGAGUGGCGAACGGGUGAGUAACACGUGAGUAACCUGCCCUUGACUUUGGGAUAACUUCAGGAAACUGGGGCUAAUACCGGAUAGGAGCUCCUGCUGCAUGGUGGGGGUUGGAAAGUUUCGGCGGUUGGGGAUGGACUCGCGGCUUAUCAGCUUGUUGGUGGGGUAGUGGCUUACCAAGGCUUUGACGGGUAGCCGGCCUGAGAGGGUGACCGGCCACAUUGGGACUGAGAUACGGCCCAGACUCCUACGGGAGGCAGCAGUGGGGAAUAUUGCACAAUGGGCGGAAGCCUGAUGCAGCAACGCCGCGUGCGGGAUGACGGCCUUCGGGUUGUAAACCGCUUUCGCCUGUGACGAAGCGUGAGUGACGGUAAUGGGUAAAGAAGCACCGGCUAACUACGUGCCAGCAGCCGCGGUGAUACGUAGGGUGCGAGCGUUGUCCGGAUUUAUUGGGCGUAAAGGGCUCGUAGGUGGUUGAUCGCGUCGGAAGUGUAAUCUUGGGGCUUAACCCUGAGCGUGCUUUCGAUACGGGUUGACUUGAGGAAGGUAGGGGAGAAUGGAAUUCCUGGUGGAGCGGUGGAAUGCGCAGAUAUCAGGAGGAACACCAGUGGCGAAGGCGGUUCUCUGGGCCUUUCCUGACGCUGAGGAGCGAAAGCGUGGGGAGCGAACAGGCUUAGAUACCCUGGUAGUCCACGCUGUAAACGGUGGGUACUAGGUGUGGGGUCCAUUCCACGGGUUCCGUGCCGUAGCUAACGCUUUAAGUACCCCGCCUGGGGAGUACGGCCGCAAGGCUAAAACUCAAAGGAAUUGACGGGGCCCCGCACAAGCGGCGGAGCAUGCGGAUUAAUUCGAUGCAACGCGUAGAACCUUACCUGGGUUUGACAUGGAUCGGGAGUGCUCAGAGAUGGGUGUGCCUCUUUUGGGGUCGGUUCACAGGUGGUGCAUGGCUGUCGUCAGCUCGUGUCGUGAGAUGUUGGGUUAAGUCCCGCAACGAGCGCAACCCUUGUUCACUGUUGCCAGCACGUUAUGGUGGGGACUCAGUGGAGACCGCCGGGGUCGACUCGGAGGAAGGUGGGGAUGACGUCAAGUCAUCAUGCCCCUUAUGUCCAGGGCUUCACGCAUGCUACAAUGGCUGGUACAGAGAGUGGCGAGCCUGUGAGGGUGAGCGAAUCUCGGAAAGCCGGUCUCAGUUCGGAUUGGGGUCUGCAACUCGACCUCAUGAAGUCGGAGUCGCUAGUAAUCGCAGAUCAGCAACGCUGCGGUGAAUACGUUCCCGGGGCUUGUACACACCGCCCGUCAAGUCAUGAAAGUUGGUAACACCCGAAGCCGGUGGCCUAACCGUUGUGGGGGAGCCGUCGAAGGUGGGACUGGUGAUUAGGACUAA